RNAcentral lists this transfer RNA (71 nucleotides) under Acanthodactylus aureus. Its description in RNAcentral is "tRNA-Gln". It matches the Rfam family "tRNA". From Rfam's summary of the family: Transfer RNA (tRNA) molecules are approximately 80 nucleotides in length. Their secondary structure includes four short double-helical elements and three loops (D, anti-codon, and T loops). The record is from RNAcentral. Lineage: Eukaryota; Metazoa; Chordata; Lepidosauria; Squamata; Lacertidae.
UAGAAGGUAGUAUAGUGGGAGUACAGAGGUUUUUGAAGCCUUAGGUGCCGGUUCAAUUCUGGUCCUUCUAU